GUGGGGAAUAUUCCGCAAUGGACGAAAGUCUGACGGAGCAACGCCGCGUGAGUGAUGAAGGUUUUCGGACUGUAAAGCUCUGUUGUUUAGGACGAAAGUGCCUGUUGCAAAUAGUUACAGGUAUUGACGGUACUGAACGAGGAAGCCACGGCUAACUACGUGCCAGCAGCCGCGGUAAUACGUAGGUGGCAAGCGUUGGCCGGAAUUAUUGGGCGUAAAGAGCAUGUAAGCGGGAAUCUAAGUCUGUUGUGAAAAUGCGGGGCUCAACCCCGUAUUGCGAUGGAAACUGGGUUUCUUGAGUGCAGGAGAGGAAAGGGGAAUUCCCAGUGUAGCGGUGAAAUGCGUAGAUAUUGGGAGGAACACCAGUGGCGAAGGCGCCUUUCUGGACUGUGUCUGACGCUGAGAUGCGAAAGCCAGGGUAGCGAACGGGAUUAGAUACCCCAGUAGUCC
RNAcentral lists this ribosomal RNA (450 nucleotides) under uncultured bacterium. Its description in RNAcentral is "partial 16S ribosomal RNA". It matches the Rfam family "Bacterial small subunit ribosomal RNA", at positions 354 to 796 of the family's 1533-position model. The record is from RNAcentral.